Non-coding RNA from Angiostrongylus costaricensis, 72 nucleotides. The record is from Rfam. Lineage: Eukaryota; Metazoa; Nematoda; Chromadorea; Rhabditida; Metastrongylidae.
GGGGGUAUAGCUCAGUGGUAGAGCGCUAACUUAGCAUGGGAGAGGGCUGGUUUUCAAUUCCCCAUACCUCCA